GAUUAUUCCCCGGCGGAUCCGGUCUGAUUUACACGGGGGGUGGCGUCAUCAGAGUCCCGGCGCACCGACCGCCCGGUACCAGCGGUGGACCGACGACCUCCUUACCUUCCCAGGCUCUGAUACCACCGUGGAGUUUGCAGGCCAUACAGCACAGUCAACAACAAGCCGCCGCCGCGGGACUUCACCGGGCUAGUUUAUUGGCGAAUCUCGCCGUUCACCCCCUUCACGCCCAUCCACAUCUCAAGGACAGAUUAGCAGUGGCCGGUGCCUUCCCCCGGAGGAUCGGACACCCUUACCAGAAUAGAACACCGCCGAAACGGAAGAAACCAAGAACGAGUUUUACUAGAUUACAAAUAGCUGAAUUAGAAAAACGGUUUCACAAGCAAAAAUAUUUGGCAUCGGCUGAGAGGGCGGCCUUAGCUAAAUCUCUCAAGAUGACGGACGCGCAAGUCAAAACGUGGUUUCAAAACAGAAGGACAAAAUGGCGAAGACAAACUGCCGAAGAGCGAGAGGCUGAGAGACAAGCAGCGAAUCGUUUGAUGCUUUCGCUGCAGGCGGAAGCUCUGGGAAAAGUUGGAUAUCCGUCGUCCGUACCGCAACAUUCUGCAGGUCCAGCGCCAAAUUCAGAUGUCCAGCAGUCCUCGCAGCCGAGUAUCGGUCACCCUAUGCCGCAGUGGGCAUCGCCAUACGGCCCACCGCAGCCCUUAACCGAACCAAUUUGUUAAAUUGAAUGAACAGGAAUAUAAUCGAAGUGAACGAUGAAAACAAAAAUUAAUUAGAUUAAUCAAUUAAUCAAUUGGAUACGGAAGUUGAUGAGGUGAUAUGUGCAAUACUCACAUAUUGUAUGUGUAUAAAUUAUAUGAUAAACGUACGAGGAGGAAUAACGAAAAACGUAUAAACAUUAUGAAAAUCGGCUGCGCACGAGCUGACGUGUAAAUAUAAAACGGUAAACGAAAAAUUUGUGUUCUUAUGUACAAUUAGGUUGAUUAUCACACAAAAAUUUUGCGUAAAUAUAUAAAUAUAUACAUAUAUAAAUAUAUUCGCGAGACGCACGAGGAUUUUCAUGUACAUGUAUAACUCAUGAAAGUUAUAAAAUCGUACACCGUUUUCUUUUCUUUUUUAAUUUAUUCAAAUCAAGAACGGAACAUUUUUUUAUAUAAAUAAAAUCUACGAAUAAUUAUGCAGUCGAAAUCGCCGCGGAUGACAUUAAAUACAAUUAUAACGUAUAGUAAUUAUGGAACGUGUAAAUAUUUAAUUGCUUCACUUCGAUUUAUAUACCUACUUUAUAUGUACCGAAUAAUAAUUAAUCGAUCA
This 1314-nucleotide unclassified non-coding RNA is filed under the name Athalia rosae (coleseed sawfly). Its description in RNAcentral is "misc RNA ENSAEAG00005003948.1". The record is from RNAcentral. Lineage: Eukaryota; Metazoa; Arthropoda; Insecta; Hymenoptera; Athaliidae.